GGCGCAGUGGCCAAGUGGCCAAGUGGUAAGGCGUUGGUCUCGUAAACCAAAGAUCAUGGGUUCAAUCCCCAUCUGUGCCU
This is a non-coding RNA of Rana temporaria (common frog), 80 nucleotides long. The record is from the annotation of a RefSeq genome assembly. NCBI's taxonomy places the organism in Eukaryota, Metazoa, Chordata, Amphibia, Anura, Ranidae.